This is a long non-coding RNA of Hippocampus comes (tiger tail seahorse), 163 nucleotides long. RefSeq lists it as uncharacterized. NCBI's taxonomy places the organism in Eukaryota, Metazoa, Chordata, Actinopteri, Syngnathiformes, Syngnathidae. The record is from RefSeq and is a predicted model, not a curated record. The transcript has 3 exons.
GAGUAUUAUUAUUAUUAAAAUUACAUGGCAUAAGUAUCGUUUUUUUAAAUUGUAUGCCGCACAAUCGUGACAGUCACACUGUGACUACUAACCGAACUAAAUUUCCCACAGCACUGAUUGGACAAGCAAUGUCAUGUGAUCAUCUGCAGCCAGUGAUGGCCAA